This 2650-nucleotide long non-coding RNA is filed under the name Mytilus galloprovincialis (Mediterranean mussel). Lineage: Eukaryota; Metazoa; Mollusca; Bivalvia; Mytilida; Mytilidae. The record is from RNAcentral.
AAAUGGGACAAUACCCCUAAUGCGCCUUGAAAUGAGGAACACAAAAGUCACGUGUAAACAAAAAAUCUCUGUGUAGUGAUAUUUGACACAUUUCUAUGAUAAACAAAUGACUGAGCUGAACCAUUAGUGUUAAUUUAGAAAGUAGGGGAACACAGAAUAAAUGUGUAAAACCAUGGAGCUAUUAAAUGUGUUCAAAGUAUUAAAAUUUCAAAGAACUUAUUGUGUUAAAAAUGGGAUUUUUUACCAUGAGGAGCCACAUCGCAAAAGGAUUCUCGGGGUUUGCUAAAUUACGGAAAAAUGAAUCACACUUCGUACCCCGAAAAUUUAACCACAUAUGUAAAAAUGUCUCAGCUUCGAAACAAGCCAUCAUACAUAUACAAGUUUACGAUAUGGGCUGAGCAACAGAAGAAAACGUUACCAUUACGGCCUAUGGAGAAACAAUUGCGCAUAUUGCCCCAUCUUCUAAGACAAGAUCCAGAGAUAUCUUAAGAUAAUUUCACCUUGUACACCACAGAAAAUUGUGAAAAUGAUGGUUAGUAGUUUUUUAUUUAUACCUAGUUAUCAUAAAUGAUUUAAGAUAAAUAUUAUUGAUAAAGAACAGCAAAAAUUCAAUGAAUUUUUCGCUUUUAAAAUCGUUACUGGCACGGGGCUGAACACUUUUUUUAGGCACAAUCAUAACUUUGUUUACCCCGAGAGAUCCGAAAGGAAUUGUUUAUUCAAUUGAAAAAGGCAGGAAAACUUACAUGUAAUAUGAAUAAUUGUAAGUAAACAUGACACAAUAUAGUCCUUUGUUAUGUAAUUAUCACUCUGGUCUGCAGAAUAGCUGAUAAUCAAGGGGAUAACACACUUCACACGAGUAAAGUGAGAUACAUCAUCACAUGCUUUUAUACAAUGAUUUGACCCUGGUCAGUAGAUAUCAUAUGCAAAUAAACAGAAAAAAACCUUGUACAUGUAUUAAGAAAAUCAUGUAUUACUAUUGUUAAUGCACACGAGCAAACACAAGAUAUUGUCAUUUCUCAGUGAAAAAGGGGGAGGGCCAACCCUCUUGAAAACAAUAUUGCUAUUCAACUACAUGUAUUAAGCUAGUUAGCUACUACCCAUUGCUUCUAAUAUAAACAGUUUAAAUGAAGGUGGCUAAGCCACAAGGGAGAGGCAUUUUUCUUUCUUUGUGAUAAAACUUUCAAGAAUUAGAUUUUUCUCUCUCGAUAAUACUUAUGUACUUAAAUUAAAUGAUAACACAGCCUGAGUAAAAAAAAUUGUCUUAUUUCAGUUCCAGACAUAUCAUUACUAUUAAACAUGAGAUGGCAAACUAAAGGUUUUAAAAAGUCCUGAAUAACUGGUAAGCAUUUUGAUUUAUUAGGUAAGCUCUAAAUUAUUUAUUUAUGGUAUUUGUGCAAAUGAAAUUACAGUCGGUAUGUUAUAAAUAUGCUUAUAUGAAAACUGUUGCUAUGGUCUUGCUAUUAAAUGAAAAGGCUUGGUUACUGAUCUUUUCGACUCAACAUUUCGAGUUAAAUCUUGCGGCAACUGAUUCUCAUGUAACACUGCAAACUCUAUUUAGCACUAUUUUGAUCUGUCGUUAUUUAAUGACGCCAUAAUACGUGUGAUGUCACAAUGUUUCCUAUAAUACCUUAUGUGGAUUUCUCACUGAGAAAGGGUUUUCACUAAAAUACAUGUAAAAAGCCUUUUUUUCUCAAAUAGAAUUAUGUGAAUGGACAAGUUUUGAAAAUUUGCACUUCAUUGCACUCUAAUUACAUAAUAAGAAUGACUUUCCCAGUAGUUUUGAGGGGUUUUCAUAGUAUUAUAUACCAGAUGUCUACUAGUAAGAAUAGUUAUUUUGGUGGUUUUUUUUUAUGAAAUCUACAUUUUUGCAUAAUUUCUCUGUCAAAAUGCACUUUAAGACACAGGAAAAUGUUAUAGAAUGCUUUAACAGGGUCUGUAUAUUGUAAUUUAAGGUUAUCAUCAGAAGUUUUGUCCUUGUUUUGACUAGUAAAGGUAUACUGGAAGAAAUUAAUUAUACAUACACGUUGUAUUAAAAAUAAAUGAAUAUAGCGAUAAAAGUGUCAUUGCCAUAUAGUGCUGAAACGACUUUAUUUUUUUUCAGAAAUGGACAAAAAUACACAGAUUUAUUCAGAAUGUCAUACCGAUGAAGAUCACCUAAAAAUAUUUGGAAAAAUCAGAACUAUUGAUUUCAAUAUGGGACAAUACCCCUAAUGCGCCUUGAAAUGAGGAACCACAAAAGUCACGUGUAAACAAAAAAUCUCUGUGUAGUGAUAUUUGACACAUUUCUAUGAUAAACAAAUGACUGAGCUGAACCAUUAGUGUUAAUUUAGAAAGUAGGGGAACACAGAAUAAAUGUGUAAAAACCAUGGAGCUAUUAAAUGUGUUCAAAGUAUUAAAAUUUCAAAGAACUUAUUGUGUUAAAAAUGGAUUUUUUACCAUGAGGAGCCACAUCGCAAAAGGAUUCUCGGGGUUUGCUAAAUUACGGAAAAAUGAAUCACACUUCGUACCCCGAAAAUUUAACCACAUAUGUAAAAAUGUCUCAGCUUCGAAACAAGCCAUCAUACAUAUACAAGUUUACGAUAUGGGCUGAGCAACAGAAGAAAACGUUACCAUUACGGCCUAUGGAGAAACAAUUGCGCAUAUUGCCCCA